Molecule: long non-coding RNA, 387 nt
Organism: Bactrocera neohumeralis
Lineage: Eukaryota; Metazoa; Arthropoda; Insecta; Diptera; Tephritidae
Exons: 2
Source: RefSeq, a predicted model, not a curated record
AGAGAUUUGUACAUUCGAGGUAUUUUUAAAAUUUUCGUAACAUUUUACCCUGUGAAUGGUAGUUGAAUUUACAUAUAACUUUUAUAUGUUUAUAUAAAACCGGUAGAAUACAUCUAGUAAAAAUGCAAAUAUACCAGUUAUUGACAAUCCCGAGAAUUCAGAAGUGUUUAAGUGUGGAUAUCAGCAUACAUUUGUAGUAAUUUAUAAAUACCCUCCAAUCGAAGGAAAAUUUUAAACAUUCGAUGUAACAACUUUAACAUACAAUCAAGGGAAACUAAUAAUAAGCCACUGAUACCUAGAUAUAAUACUAAAUAUACUCUUCUAUCAAGAUGUAAAAAUAAUUUGAAUAAAUAACGGGUUUUCCAAUAGGAAUGAUAUGAUUUCAAA